CGUGGCUAACCUGCCCUUGGGACAGAGACACCCCCGGGAAACUGGGGCUAAUCCCUGAUAGGUGAAGAACUCUGGAAUGAGUCUUCACCCAAAAGACGCCUAGGCCACGCUUCUAGGCGCCGCCCAAGGAUGGGGCCGCGACCGAUCAGGUUGUUGGUGAGGUAACGGCCUACCAAGCCUUUUACCGGUACGGGCCGUGAGAGCGGGAGCCCGGAGAUGGGCACUGAGACAAGGGCCCAGGUCCUACGGGGCGCAGCAGUCGCGCAAACUUUGCAAUACACGAAAGUGUGACAGGGCUAUCCCGAGUGCCGUCCGCUGAGGGUGGCUUUUACCCAGUCUAGAAAGCUGGGAGAAUAAGGAGAGGGCAAGUCUGGUGUCAGCCGCCGCGGUAAUACCAGCUCUCCGAGUGGUGUGGAUGUUUAUUGGGCCUAAAGCAUCCGUAGCUUGCUGAUCAAGUCCCCUGUUAAACCCAACGAAUCAAUCGUUGGAUUGCGGGGGAUACUGCUCGGCUAGGGGACGGGAGAGGCCGACGGUAUUUUCGGGGUAGGGGUGAAAUCCUAUAAUCCCGAGAGGACCACCAGUGGCGAAGGCUGUCGGCUAGAACGCGCCCAACGGUGAGGGAUGAAAGCUGGGGGAGCGAACCGGAUUAGAUACCCGGGUAGUCCCAGCUGU
RNAcentral lists this ribosomal RNA (672 nucleotides) under uncultured archaeon. Its description in RNAcentral is "bacterial SSU rRNA". It matches the Rfam family "Archaeal small subunit ribosomal RNA", at positions 99 to 754 of the family's 1478-position model. The record is from RNAcentral.